GAUGAACGCUGGCGGCGUGCCUAAUACAUGCAAGUCGAGCGAACGGACGAGAAGCUUGCUUCUCUGAUGUUAGCGGCGGACGGGUGAGUAACACGUGGAUAACCUACCUAUAAGACUGGGAUAACUUCGGGAAACCGGAGCUAAUACCGGAUAAUAUUUUGAACCGCAUGGUUCAAAAGUGAAAGACGGUCUUGCUGUCACUUAUAGAUGGAUCCGCGCUGCAUUAGCUAGUUGGUAAGGUAACGGCUUACCAAGGCAACGAUGCAUAGCCGACCUGAGAGGGUGAUCGGCCACACUGGAACUGAGACACGGUCCAGACUCCUACGGGAGGCAGCAGUAGGGAAUCUUCCGCAAUGGGCGAAAGCCUGACGGAGCAACGCCGCGUGAGUGAUGAAGGUCUACGGAUCGUAAAACUCUGUUAUUAGGGAAGAACAUAUGUGUAAGUAACUGUGCACAUCUUGACGGUACCUAAUCAGAAAGGCACGGCUAACUACGUG
This 497-nucleotide ribosomal RNA is filed under the name uncultured bacterium. Its description in RNAcentral is "partial 16S ribosomal RNA". It matches the Rfam family "Bacterial small subunit ribosomal RNA", at positions 28 to 507 of the family's 1533-position model. The record is from RNAcentral.